This 506-nucleotide ribosomal RNA is filed under the name Hepatozoon americanum. RNAcentral's name for it is "partial 18S ribosomal RNA". It matches the Rfam family "Eukaryotic small subunit ribosomal RNA", at positions 515 to 1003 of the family's 1831-position model. Lineage: Eukaryota; Apicomplexa; Hepatozoidae. The record is from RNAcentral.
UGAUAGAAAUUUAAACACUUUUUAAAGUAUCAAUUGGAGGGCAAGUCUGGUGCCAGCAGCCGCGGUAAUUCCAGCUCCAAUAGCGUAUAUUAAAAUUGUUGCAGUUAAAAAGCUCGUAGUUGAAUUUCUGUUAAAAAUAACCGGUCUGCUUUUUUUAUUAAAAGUUGUAUCAUUUUGGUGUGUUUUUAACAAUAAUAAUGUCCUUUGAAAAUGUUUUUCACUUUAUUGUAAUAAGUCAUUGUUUUGAGGAUUUUUACUUUGAGAAAAUUAGAGUGUUUUUAGCAGGCUUUUACGCUUUUGAAUACUGCAGCAUGGAAUAAUAAGAUAGGAUUUUAGUUCUACAUUAUUGGUUUUAAGAACUAAAUUAAUGAUUGAUAGGGAUAGUUGGGGGCAUUUGUAUUUAACUGUCAGAGGUGAAAUUCUUAGAUUUGUUAAAGACAAACUACUGCGAAAGCAUUUGCCAAAGAUGUUUUCAUUAAUCAAGAACGAAAGUUAGGGGAUCGAAG